UUGGGAUUUUAUUUAGCGAUAAAAUAAUCAUCGUUAACAUAAAUGUAAAAAGGUUAAGAAAUGUGGGAAACGCAACAGUAUGCUAAUCACAAGAUUAUGUUGCAAAUCAAUCUGGGUUCAGCAUGGCCUAAUCAUAUGUGCGUGCAUGGUUAAGGCAGUUUUUGCUUAUCUUUACCUCAUUAUUACUUAGGCCUGAAAAUUAAUGCAUUAGUAAUCAUUUUAAGGAAAAGUAAAGAGAUGAUAAAGUUGAAAAAAAAGGAUACUUGCCUGAAAUAUAAUCUUGAUUGGAAUUUGGAGGCUCUUCUCAAUGCCAUAGCUUUCUUCUUUUGCUAGUCUAAGAGUGUGUAUUCUUGUUUGAAAAGAGAAAGAAAUAAAUAUAAGUAUAAGAUGACUAAUACGAGUGGUGUUAUUAUAUAUAAUUGUACCUUGGUUUAAUGUGUUUCUAACUAACCAUUAUAAAUU
Molecule: long non-coding RNA, 462 nt
Filed under: Trifolium pratense (red clover)
Lineage: Eukaryota; Viridiplantae; Streptophyta; Magnoliopsida; Fabales; Fabaceae
Description: long non-coding RNA (TPRA_LNC009338)
Source: RNAcentral